CAGAGAGAGAUACUGUCUCAAAAAAACAAAACAAACAAAAACAAACAAACAAAACUAGAAUGUAGGUAGGAAUCAGGAUAACUGGGAAGCAAAUUAACCUCGACCUGGGACUUCUUUAAAUGAGUUUGCACAGCUGUCUCAAUCCAUGUAAAUCUCUUGUUAUAUAAACCCACUCACUUGAUCAACAGAAACAGAGGGAGUCCAGAUGUUAGCGGAUAGAGCUCUCAUGCACCCAGCUUCCCUAGCUUGGAAUACGCCAGCACUGUCUAAAAUGAAGCUAAGCAAAACCCAAACAAAACCAACACCCAAACACCAAAAGCAAACCCAAACAAAAUCCCAACCAAACAAGUUACAAACAACUAAGGAUAUUUUCUAAACCCAUUGACUGACUCAUGACUUUCUGGUCUCCCUGGCUCAGAUUUCUGAGAGCUUUAAAAAAUUGUGCCAAACAAGGAAGUACCAUUGCUUAAUUAGGUCUUGCCAAUUAUUUUGCCUGAUUUUACUUUUUUUCUACCUCCCUGCUCCAUUCCAGUGACAUAGUAGGCUUCCCUCGACUUUCUACAUCAGCACACUGUAUCAGGUAGUGGACUUCCUGGACAAGCUCUAUACCACCUUUGGGAAAAAUUAUAGACCAUUAUGAUGUCUACAACAUGGAGACGAUGGGAAAUGCUUGUGACUAUUGAUGUAUGGGGUGCAGUCUAGUAACACAUAGAAGGACUGAGACCAAUAGCCAUGUUGAAGAGGAGACGAUGGUUCUCCCAUCACCUUCAUUACUCCACCUGCUGCUCAUGAAGGUUGCUGCGGGAUGUGCUGAUUAACUUGUGUUUUGGUCGAAAUCUGAAGUGAUGCUGAAUCUUCGUCCUUUAAUGUUGUCUGUUUUAUUGUUGAACAAUUUUAUCAUGCAUCGUGUGAACUUUUAUGCUUAUGGUGUGUAUCAUCACAGCACUGGACAAUAAUGACUCACACAGUAGAAUAACAUAACUGUAUACUUGCAUCAAGGGUAGUUAAAACAUG
RNAcentral lists this long non-coding RNA (1014 nucleotides) under Homo sapiens (human). RNAcentral describes it as "HSALNT0351629". The record is from RNAcentral. Lineage: Eukaryota; Metazoa; Chordata; Mammalia; Primates; Hominidae.